GCUAAUCCCGUGACAGCGUCCGGGAUAAGACGGAGGGGGGAAGAGGUAAGCGGAAUUACGGUGCGUAAAGCGCACGCAGGCGGUCUGUCAAGUCGGAUGUGAAAUCCCCGGGCGCAACCUGGGAAUAGCAUGUCGAACGGGCGAACUAGAGUCUUGUAGAGGGGGGUAGAAUUCCAGGUGUAGCGGUGAAAUGCGUAGAGAUCUGGAGGAAUACCGGUGGCGAAGGCGGCCCCCUGGACAAAGACUGACGCUCAUGCACGAAAGCGUGGGGAGCAAACAGGAUUAGAUACCCCGGUAGUC
Molecule: ribosomal RNA, 300 nt
Filed under: uncultured Anaerospora sp.
Lineage: Bacteria; Bacillati; Bacillota; Negativicutes; Selenomonadales; Sporomusaceae
Description: bacterial SSU rRNA
Rfam family: Bacterial small subunit ribosomal RNA
Source: RNAcentral